Molecule: non-coding RNA, 96 nt
Organism: Nemania abortiva
Lineage: Eukaryota; Fungi; Ascomycota; Sordariomycetes; Xylariales; Xylariaceae
Source: the annotation of a GenBank genome assembly
UCUCGAUUGGUCUAGUGGUAAGGAUACCUGCUUGUCAUCGAUGGUCUCUGAUCAUACAAUUCGCAGGUGGCCGGGGUUCGAUUCCCCGAUCGAGAG